Molecule: ribosomal RNA, 920 nt
Filed under: uncultured Actinomycetes bacterium
Lineage: Bacteria; Bacillati; Actinomycetota; Actinomycetes
Description: bacterial SSU rRNA
Rfam family: Bacterial small subunit ribosomal RNA
Source: RNAcentral
UGCAAGUCGAACGGAAAGGCCCUGCUUUUGUGGGGUGCUCGAGUGGCGAACGGGUGAGUAACACGUGAGUAACCUGCCCUUGACUUUGGGAUAACUUCAGGAAACUGGGGCUAAUACCGGAUAGGAGCUCCUGCUGCAUGGUGGGGGUUGGAAAGUUUCGGCGGUUGGGGAUGGACUCGCGGCUUAUCAGCUUGUUGGUGGGGUAGUGGCUUACCAAGGCUUUGACGGGUAGCCGGCCUGAGAGGGUGACCGGCCACAUUGGGACUGAGAUACGGCCCAGACUCCUACGGGAGGCAGCAGUGGGGAAUAUUGCACAAUGGGCGGAAGCCUGAUGCAGCAACGCCGCGUGCGGGAUGACGGCCUUCGGGUUGUAAACCGCUUUCGCCUGUGACGAAGCGUGAGUGACGGUAAUGGGUAAAGAAGCACCGGCUAACUACGUGCCAGCAGCCGCGGUGAUGCGUAGGGUGCGAGCGUUGUCCGGAUUUAUUGGGCGUAAAGGGCUCGUAGGUGGUUGAUCGCGUCGGAAGUGUAAUCUUGGGGCUUAACCCUGAGCGUGCUUUCGAUACGGGUUGACUUGAGGAAGGUAGGGGAGAAUGGAAUUCCUGGUGGAGCGGUGGAAUGCGCAGAUAUCAGGAGGAACACCAGUGGCGAAGGCGGUUCUCUGGGCCUUUCCUGACGCUGAGGAGCGAAAGCGUGGGGAGCGAACAGGCUUAGAUACCCUGGUAGUCCACGCUGUAAACGGUGGGUACUAGGUGUGGGGUCCAUUCCACGGGUUCCGUGCCGUAGCUAACGCUUUAAGUACCCCGCCUGGGGAGUACGGCCGCAAGGCUAAAACUCAAAGGAAUUGACGGGGCCCCGCACAAGCGGCGGAGCAUGCGGAUUAAUUCGAUGCAACGCGUAGAACCUUACCUGGGUUUGAC